AGACCAAAAACUCUCCAUACACACAUAUGGUGGAGAAGUGUAUAAAAACAGGCUGAAAAGAGGAACCAACUGUUCUUAGUCCGCGACGUUGGAGAAGAGUCAACACGGGGAAGCAGGUUGAAAAACAGCAGAGGUCCGCAGCUCGGAACCACGGGGAAGUCGAAACUCCGCGCCGCCAAGAAGGGACAAGAUCCUGACGCCCAAGCCCCGGUUCCUGAUUCGACCGUCGGUCAUGCCUCAACCCAAAUAUUGCAACAGACUUGGAGAAAAGACAAAGGUCCCGAAGGGAUAAAAGAGCUGGGUUUUCGAAGGAUUUGGACCCGUUCUGCGUUGCAUCUAUUCUAAGGAGGACUUUUCCAUACAAGGACAAAGACUCUGACCAAGGCUUCUGGAGGUUCCUGUUGCUAGAGAUCCAUUAACAACUGGGUACCUCUGUGAUCAUGAGGCUGAUGGCUCUUCAGACCCAGGAGGGUUUGCAGAUCCAGAGAUGAGCUCAUGUUGCUGGACUUCCUCACCAGAGUUCACUCAUCUCAAACACACACAGUGUCCUUACAGAUCAGCUACAUAACUUUACACACACACCUCAUGUAUUUAUGGACAGUUAUGUGUCCAUUCAUGCACAACAUUCACAGAUGGACGAAGUUGUUGGUAUCUUCUGUUAAUGACUGAAAAACCCACAGUGCACUGAAACAACUUGAAACUGACAAAAGUAAUAAAUGAAAAUGUACUGAAAAUUAACCAAUAAAAAUCAGACAUUGUUUUUAAUUGAGGUUCAACAGAAUAAGAAAAUGACAGACCAAGAUGACUACAGAAACUUCAGGUCCACAGGACUGGAGCCGAUGUCCCUGGCUGCGGCUGCAGGAAGAAAAUGGACAAAUUCAAGGGAAUUAUGAUACGAAAGGUUACUAAAGUCCAGAAAGUAAAGGUGAACUCCAAGGUCAAGCUGGACUUGAUGUGAAAUGACCAAGGAGGAAAACAAAUCAUAAAAAGUGAGGCUGAAUUUACCACACAGGUUCUGGGAGAGAAGAGACAAAAUGAACAUCAGACACAAACAUGCUAAUAAGUUUUAACUACCAUCAUUUUAAUUGAGCCACAAUUUAUAAUCAGUGUCUGAUUUUCAUCAGUAAACAAUUUUUUACUACUUUUGUUAGUUUCAAGUUACUUCUGUUACCAUUGUGGCUUUUUGUUCAUUAACAGAGGAACCAACUAUAUUAUUCAUGUGUAUUACAAACUAUGUACACAACUUCCAGUUUUAAUCUUCUAUUGCUGUUACUUUUAUUAUUAUUAAUAGUAAUAUUACCACUGUGUGGAGAGACACGUUCCUGCUUUUAUAUGUGAUUUUUAAUGUUUAAAUGUUAAUAAAUAUGUAAACUUA
Long non-coding RNA from Xiphophorus maculatus (southern platyfish), 1375 nucleotides. RefSeq lists it as uncharacterized. The record is from RefSeq and is a predicted model, not a curated record. NCBI's taxonomy places the organism in Eukaryota, Metazoa, Chordata, Actinopteri, Cyprinodontiformes, Poeciliidae. The transcript has 2 exons.